Molecule: ribosomal RNA, 492 nt
Filed under: uncultured bacterium
Lineage: Bacteria
Description: bacterial SSU rRNA
Rfam family: Bacterial small subunit ribosomal RNA
Source: RNAcentral
GACGAACGUUGGCGGCGUGUCUAAGGCAUGCAAGUCGAGCGGAUAUCAUUUUUUAGCAAUAUUAGAUGAUGUUAGCGGCAAACGGGUGCGUAACACAUUGGUAAUCUACCCCCCAGUCGGGCACAACUCGCCGAAAGGCGAGCUAAUUCCACGAUGGGCAUGCGGGGACAUAUGUCAUUCGCAUGUAAAGCGCAAAACGCGCUGGGGGAGGAGCCUAUGGCCCAUCAGCUUGUUGGCGGGGUAAAAGCCCACCAAGGCUACGACGGGUAGGGGGUGUGAGAGCAUGACCCCCCUCACUGGGACUGAGACACUGCCCAGACACCUACGGGUGGCUGCAGUUAAGAAUAUUCCUCAAUGGCCGAAAGGCUGAAGGAGCGACGCCGCGUGCAGGAUGAAGGGCUUUGGCUCGUAAACUGCUUUUAUUGGGAAGAAUUCUGACGGUACCAAAUGAAUAAGAGGUUGCUAACUCUGUGCCAGCAGCCGCGGUAAUCU